This is a long non-coding RNA of Patella vulgata (common limpet), 628 nucleotides long. RefSeq lists it as uncharacterized. The record is from RefSeq and is a predicted model, not a curated record. Lineage: Eukaryota; Metazoa; Mollusca; Gastropoda; Patellidae. The transcript is spliced from 3 exons.
CAGCGUUUGUUCAGUUUUAAUGUAUUUCAUUUUUAAAAAGAAAAUUUUAAAAACAGUUCUCGAACCCUCAAUUUGCAGUUGGUCAUAAAAUUAUGCUAUACCCUUUAAAAACAGCCGUACUUAUGAAAAUUGUCACUUCGACUUGUGGCUGAAAAGAAUACAACACCAAAACAGAAAGACUUGACGAAAAAAAACUAUACAAGAAAAGACAAAUAAUUUAAAAUGUAUGCAAUUGCUGAUGUAAGAAAUUUUAUAUUAUCAACCAUUAGCCUGAUUACGGCGACAUUGGCACCAUAUGCACCGUCCUUAGGCACGCCUGAUGUUGUUAUACAAUUACGGGGUAUUUUGGCAGACGCAGACGCUUUGUUGUCGACCCACAACCCGUUCAUCCCAACUAGACCAGCCACGCCUAGCCAGGAAAAAGAAACAUUGUUAGCAUACACUGACUACAUAUUGGCACGUUUGAGGUUGGUGGCCGACACAAAUCCGGGGUUCAAGAAGCCAAUGGAUAUUUUAGAGACUUACAGGGAAUUGGCCGACUGGAACUCACCGGCACUUUAAAAUGUAAAUCAAAAAUAAAAAAAAAAUAUUGAAAAAAAAAAAACAAAACAUUGUUAGCUUCUUGCUU